Cricetulus griseus (Chinese hamster) is the source of this 189-nucleotide small nuclear RNA. Its record names the gene U2. It matches the Rfam family "U2 spliceosomal RNA". From Rfam's summary of the family: U2 is a small nuclear RNA (snRNA) component of the spliceosome (involved in pre-mRNA splicing). Complementary binding between U2 snRNA (in an area lying towards the 5' end but 3' to hairpin I) and the branchpoint sequence (BPS) of the intron results the bulging out of an unpaired adenosine, on the BPS, which initiates a nucleophilic attack at the intronic 5' splice site, thus starting the first of two transesterification reactions that mediate splicing. The record is from Ensembl. Lineage: Eukaryota; Metazoa; Chordata; Mammalia; Rodentia; Cricetidae.
GAUGUUUCUCUGCCUUUUGGCUAAGAUCAAGGGUAAUAUCUGUUAUCAGUUUAACAUCUGAUAUGCCCUCUAUCCAAGGACAAUAUAUUAAAUGGAUUUUUGGAGCUAGGAAUUGGGAUGGGAGCUUGGUCCACUCACUCCCACCCAUUGCCCUCGUACUGCAGAACCUCCAGCAAUGGUGCAGGAAAG